RNAcentral lists this unclassified non-coding RNA (1735 nucleotides) under Megachile rotundata (alfalfa leafcutting bee). RNAcentral describes it as "nHL repeat-containing protein 2, transcript variant X1". Lineage: Eukaryota; Metazoa; Arthropoda; Insecta; Hymenoptera; Megachilidae. The record is from RNAcentral.
AGUUCUAAGCAGUUGAAAUAUUAUUGAAACGCUAACUUAUCAUUUUGAGAAAAUGAUCGUAAUAAUUAAUUCUAUUUUUUUUCUUCAUUUUGAGAAGUGUGUUAAGCUGAAUUUGUAGGUCAUAAUUUUUAUUUUUCUUUACGUACAAUUUUUAAUAGAGCAAGUAAAAUAUGAACGUACGAGACACUGUGGAAGAAUUGACACGAACUUGUAUAGAAAUACGUCAAAAUUUGGAAUCGUCGUUUGACAGAAAAGAACGGGAAAAAUUGAUAUUAAAUCAUAUCGAAGAGUUUUCGUUAAGGGGAUUACGGGUCACCGAUUUUCAGAAAGGUUUAGAAUGGUUCAACGUCGCAGAGGGGCUAUCCGUGUAUCGACAUCUGGUUGGGAAGAUAAUUAUUCUGGAUUUUUUUACAUAUUGUUGCAUCAACUGUAUGCACAUAUUACCGGAUUUACAUGCCCUUGAGAAACAAUUCACGAUCACGGAUGGUCUCGUCGUGGUUGGAGUACACAGUGCGAAAUUUACAAACGAACGCGAUUCGAGGGGACUAUUAUCAGCUAUACAAAGAUACGACAUAACGCAUCCAGUCGUAAACGACGCAACGCUAUCAAUGUGGCGUGAUUUAGGAAUUUCUUGCUGGCCAACUCUAAUAAUGAUAGGUCCUGCAGGCGAAUUACUUGCAGUUUUCGUAGGAGAAGGUCAUAAAGAGGAAUUAAACCUAUACACAAACGUAGCAUUAACAUAUUUCGAGUCGUUGAAUAAAAUAUCUAAACAUGAUCUUCCUUUGCAAUUAGCACGGCAUUUAUUGCCUAUCGGUAGUAAGGAAACACUUUUAUUCCCCAGUAAGUUAGAAAGCUUUCAGAGCGAACAAGGGGAAAGAUUGAUUAUAUCAGACACCGGCAACAAUAGAAUUUUAGUGACAGAUAUGGUGGGUACGGUGGAAUAUGUUAUCGGUGGUAUGAAUCCAGAUUUCAGAGAUGGCAACUUUGAAAAUGCCAGAUUUAAUGCACCUCAAGGUGUGUGCGUAUUAGGUGAUUCGAUCUUCGUAGCUGAUAACGAGAAUCAUGCGGUUAGAAAGAUAGACCUGACGAAAAAAAUUGUUACCACCGUUGCUGGUACUGGUAUUCAAGGUUUCGAUCGUAUCGGAGGUAAAACGGGUAAAGAUCAGGUUUUGUCGUCUCCAUGGGAUGUAGCUGUUUUUAAUCAUCAGAACGGUAACAAGAUAGUACCGGUGCUAUUGAUCGCUAUCGCGGGCAUACAUCAGAUUUGGGCUCUUUUCUUGGAAAAUACUGUGUGGUGGAAAAACAGAGAGUAUAAGGCCGAUUCGUGCGUCGCGAUAGUAGGAAGUGGUAAAGAGGAAAAUCGUAACAACGCUUAUCCUCAUGCAGCGGGUUUAGCGCAACCAUCCGGAUUGACCAUCGAUCAUAAAAAUAAAAUUGCUUAUUUCGCAGACAGCGAAAGCAGCGCAAUCAGAUGUAUAGAUUUGCAGAAUGGGCGCGUUUCUGCAGUUUGCGGUGCAAACAGAGAUCCAGCGGUUAGUUUAAACGUAUAAACGGAUUUCGAAACAGUUUGCGAUUUCUCGUAAUGGUAACGGCUAUUCAAAAAUGACGAAUCGUUGGAUCUACAUGAUUUUGGUGAUUCGGACGGCACACGGUAUACGGUAAAGCUUCAACAUCCUUUGGGAAUAACGUGGCAUUCGAAGGAGAACGUUAUCUACGUAGCCGACACGUACAACCA